RNAcentral lists this ribosomal RNA (811 nucleotides) under uncultured bacterium. Its description in RNAcentral is "bacterial SSU rRNA". It matches the Rfam family "Bacterial small subunit ribosomal RNA", at positions 356 to 1160 of the family's 1533-position model. The record is from RNAcentral.
AGGGAAUCUUCCACAAUGGGCGCAAGCCUGAUGGAGCAACGCCGCGUGUGUGAUGAAGGCUUUCGGGUCGUAAAGCACUGUUGUAUGGGAAGAACAGCUAGAAUAGGGAAUGAUUUUAGUGUGACGGUACCAUACCAGAAAGGGACGGCUAAAUACGUGCCAGCAGCCGCGGUAAUACGUAUGUCCCGAGCGUUAUCCGGAUUUAUUGGGCGUAAAGCGAGCGCAGACGGUUGUUUAAGUCUGAUGUGAAAGCCCGGAGCUCAACUCCGGAAAGGCAUUGGAAACUGGACAACUUGAGUGCAGUAGAGGUAAGUGGAACUCCAUGUGUAGCGGUGGAAUGCGUAGAUAUAUGGAAGAACACCAGCGGCGAAGGCGGCUUACUGGACUGUAACUGACGUUGAGGCUCGAAAGUGUGGGUAGCAAACAGGAUUAGAUACCCUGGUAGUCCACACCGUAAACGAUGAACACUAGGUGUUAGGAGGUUUCCGCCUCUUAGUGCCGAAGCUAACGCAUUAAGUGUUCCGCCUGGGGAGUACGACCGCAAGGUUGAAACUCAAAGGAAUUGACGGGGACCCGCACAAGCGGUGGAGCAUGUGGUUUAAUUCGAAGCAACGCGAAGAACCUUACCAGGUCUUGACAUCCUUUGAAGCUUUUAGAGAUAGAAGUGUUCUCUUCGGAGACAAAGUGACAGGUGGUGCAUGGUCGUCGUCAGCUCGUGUCGUGAGAUGUUGGGUUAAGUCCCGCAACGAGCGCACCCUUAUUGUUAGUUGCCAGCAUUCAGAUGGGCACUCUAGCGAGACUGCCGGUGACA